UUGAGUGAGGCAAAGUACAAACUAAGAAAAUGAUAAAGGAUGGGUAGAAAGGGACAAGGGGAUGGGUCUCUUGCUGUAGGAAAGUAGCCCAAGGGAACAAGGUGAGGGGUGAGGAGAGGGAAGAGGAAAUAAGAAGAAUAAAGACAUGCCACGUACAGGAACCCAGCAGCCCCAAUUAAUGUAAACAUUUUAUCCCAUAACAGGAUCUAAGGCAAAUAAAGUCAAGAGGAAUGAAAAAUGUGACAGAGGAACUGGAGGGGGGCUGGCAGAAGGAGAUUUUAAAAAAGAAGAAAGAAACAUGCAACUUGUACAUGUAGCCACUGGCCAAGAUGACAGUAAACUACAUGAACUGCAAAAGUACAAGGAAAAUUUUUAAUUUUUUAGAAGAGGAAGGGUUUUUAUCUCCGUAUUUUAGAUGAGACGGUCACACAGGAAGGCAAGUUGCUUGCCUAAGGACACCAUGAAAUCAAAAAAUCCACCUCUGGCUGCCAGGAACGGGGAGGGGCUGGAGAUGGAGACGGCCCACAGCUGAACCCUGGAAGGGGAUCGGGACCUGGGAUUGCGGCCACGUCGGACAGGAGCUGCGGCCGGCCGGGAACUCACUGCCGGCCACUGGCAGGGGAGGGUCAGAGGAUUGCAGAUGUAGGGAGAAACCCACUGGACAGGUCACAGAAGUGCUCCAAUUCGACUGUGGGCAGAGAGGAAGAAAUGCAGUCUGGUUUUGCAGAAAGAUAAUAAAAAAUUUAAACGCUCAUUGACAUUCACUGUGUUAAACACUCUACAUGCAGGAUCUUAUU
Heterocephalus glaber (naked mole-rat) is the source of this 797-nucleotide non-coding RNA. The record is from RefSeq and is a predicted model, not a curated record. NCBI's taxonomy places the organism in Eukaryota, Metazoa, Chordata, Mammalia, Rodentia, Bathyergidae.